This 473-nucleotide long non-coding RNA is filed under the name Drosophila guanche. Lineage: Eukaryota; Metazoa; Arthropoda; Insecta; Diptera; Drosophilidae. The record is from RNAcentral.
GUCGUAGCCAAAACUAAAUCCAAAUACAAAUGCAGUUGACAGUGCAAAGAGUGUGAGAGAGUGACGCUCGCUUAUGGCCAAGGAUACAUUUUGAUUUCUAUACGAAAUCAGCAAUAGAAAAGCAGCAAAAAAGAAGAAAGCCUUUUGGGAAGCACAAAACACUUUUUACAACACUCUGCAACACUCUUUACGCUCCCUUUUUACAGUUGCAGUCUAGCACAACAAACACGCAAGAAAUGUCAGCUUGGAAUGCGGUGGACACACCGCUCGAGAAGUGAGAAAAGUGAGAAUCAGACUCCGACUCAGUCUCUGAUUGAGAGAAAAGCCUUUCCUUCUGCAAAAACUUAUGGCGAAUUAGUGCAGCUGAGCUUUAAUUGGCGUGCACUUGGCAGUGCCAAGUAUGGACAGAUGAAACGUGUGUCCAGCCAGGUCCGUGUGUCUGUCUGAUUGUCCGCUGUCAGAAUCCCAAGAGC